AUUGAACGCUGGCGGAAUGCUUUACACAUGCAAGUCGAACGGCAGCACGGGGGCAACCCUGGUGGCGAGUGGCGAACGGGUGAGUAAUACAUCGGAACGUGCCCGGUCGUGGGGGAUAACGUAGCGAAAGUUACGCUAAUACCGCAUACGAUCUGAGGAUGAAAGCGGGGGACCUUCGGGCCUCGCGCGAUCGGAGCGGCCGAUGUCAGAUUAGGUAGUUGGUGGGGUAAAGGCCUACCAAGCCGACGAUCUGUAGCUGGUCUGAGAGGACGACCAGCCACACUGGGACUGAGACACGUCCCAGACUCCUACGGGAGGCAGCAGUGGGGAAUUUUGGACAAUGGGCGCAAGCCUGAUCCAGCCAUUCCGCGUGCAGGACGAAGGCCUUCGGGUUGUAAACUGCUUUUGUAUGGAACGAAAAGGCUCUGGCUAAUACCUGGGGCUCAUGACGGUACCGUAAGAAUAAGCACCGGCUAACUACGUG
This 484-nucleotide ribosomal RNA is filed under the name uncultured bacterium. RNAcentral's name for it is "partial 16S ribosomal RNA". It matches the Rfam family "Bacterial small subunit ribosomal RNA", at positions 30 to 507 of the family's 1533-position model. The record is from RNAcentral.